Molecule: ribosomal RNA, 890 nt
Filed under: uncultured euryarchaeote
Lineage: Archaea; Methanobacteriati; Methanobacteriota
Description: bacterial SSU rRNA
Rfam family: Archaeal small subunit ribosomal RNA
Source: RNAcentral
AGCUACUGCUAUCAGAGUUCGAUUAAGCCAUGUUAGUUGAGGGUGCUUUCCUUCGGAAGAAGGAGUAACCCGGCGGACGGCUCAGUAACACGUGGACAACUUGUCCUUUGGACCGGGAUAACCCCUGGGAAACUGGGGCUAAUACCGGAUAGAGCAUUGAUAGCUGGAAUGCAUGAUGCUCGAAAGCUGAGGCGCCAAAGGGUAGGUCUGCGGCCGAUUAGGUUGUUGUUGAUGUAAUGGAUCAACAAGCCUCCGAUCGGUAUGGGUUGUGAGAGCAAUAUCCCAGAGAUGGGUUCUGAGAGAAGAACCCAGGUCCUACGGGACGCAUCAGGCGCGAAAACUUUACAAUGUGCGAAAGCACGAUAAGGGAACUCUGAGUGCCUCCAAAGGAGGCUGUUCAGGUGUCUAAAAAGCAUCUGAAGUAAGGGCUGGGCAAGACCGGUGCCAGCCGCCGCGGUAACACCGGCAGCCCAAGUGGUGGCCACUUUACUGGGUCUAAAGCGUUCGUAGCCGGCUAUGUAAGUUCCUUGGGAAAUUUGACCGCUUAACGGUUAAGCUUCCAGGGAAUACUGCUUGGCUUGGGACCGGGAGAGGUCAGAGGUACCUCAAGGGUAGGGGUGAAAUCCGUUAAUCCUUGGGGGACCGCCAGUAGCGAAGGCGUCUGACCAGACCGGAUCCGACGGUGAGGGACGAAGGCUAGGGUAGCGAACCGGAUUAGAUACCCGGGUAGUCCUAGCUGUAAACGAUGCGGGCUAGGUGUUGGCAUUACUGCGAGUGAUGCCAGUGCCGAAGGGAAGCCGUUAAGCCCGCCAUCUGGGGAGUACGGUCGCAAGGCUGAAACUUAAAGGAAUUGGCGGGGGAGCACUACAACGGGUGGAGCCUGCGGUUCA